ACGACGGCCCUAUGGGUUGUAAACUGCUUUUAUAAGGGAAUAAAGUGAGUCUCGUGAGACUUUUUGCAUGUACUUAUGAAUAAGGACCGGCUAAUUCCGUGCCAGCAGCCGCGGUAAUACGGAAGGUCCGGGCGUUAUCCGGAUUUAUUGGGUUUAAAGGGAGCGUAGGCUGGAGAUUAAGCGUGUUGUGAAAUGUAGAGGCUCAACCUCUGCACUGCAGCGCGAACUGGUCUUCUUGAGUACGCACAACGUGGGCGGAAUUCGUGGUGUAGCGGUGAAAUGCUUAGAUAUCACGAAGAACUCCGAUUGCGAAGGCAGCUCACGGGAGCGCAACUGACGCUGAAGCUCGAAAGUGCGGGUAUCGAACAGGAUUAGAUACCCUGGUAGUCCGCACGGUAAACGAUGGAUGCCCGCUGUUGGCCUGAAUAGGUCAGCGGCCAAGCGAAAGCAUUAAGCAUCCCACCUGGGGAGUACGCCGGCAACGGUGCAACUCAAAUGAAUUGACGGA
This 508-nucleotide ribosomal RNA is filed under the name uncultured Bacteroidota bacterium. RNAcentral's name for it is "bacterial SSU rRNA". It matches the Rfam family "Bacterial small subunit ribosomal RNA", at positions 408 to 917 of the family's 1533-position model. The record is from RNAcentral. Lineage: Bacteria; Pseudomonadati; Bacteroidota.